Molecule: ribosomal RNA, 253 nt
Filed under: uncultured bacterium
Lineage: Bacteria
Description: partial 16S ribosomal RNA
Rfam family: Bacterial small subunit ribosomal RNA
Source: RNAcentral
UACGUAGGCAGCGAGCGUUGUUCGGAGUUACUGGGCGUAAAGAGUGCGUAGGCGGUUUUCCAAGUUUGGUGUGAAAUCUCCCGGCUUAACUGGGAGGGUGCGCCGAAAACUGGAAGGCUUGAGUAUGGGAGAGGUAAGCGGAAUUCCUGGUGUAGCGGUGAAAUGCGUAGAUAUCAGGAGGAACACCUGCGGUGUAGACGGCUUACUGGACCAUAACUGACGCUGAGGCACGAAAGCGUGGGUAGCAAACAGG